Podarcis lilfordi (Lilford's wall lizard) is the source of this 24723-nucleotide non-coding RNA. NCBI's taxonomy places the organism in Eukaryota, Metazoa, Chordata, Lepidosauria, Squamata, Lacertidae. The record is from the annotation of a GenBank genome assembly.
GCUCUUUGAGCCGGCGUCUCACUUUCGCGUCCUCGCAGCGCUUGCCGGGGCGGCCAUGUGGGUGUACGCGCUCGUGGGCGCGCUCCUCCUCCUGGGCAUUUGGAGAGCUCUGGGCACCCGAAGCGCCUCUUCCAACCCUUUCCGGGCAGAUUCCAGGCGGCCGCCCGCGCCUCUGGUGACCGACAAAGAUGCGCGCAGAAAGGUCCUCAAGCAAGGUAGCCACCGGCCAGUCUCGGCGGGGGUCGCUGCCAGGCUGGCAAAGGGAGCCCCCCGAAACGGAGCUGCUGGGUGGGGGGGUCAAGUGGCGCGUGAACGAUGCCCAGUGGUGGUGGGCAGCGCGGGAGUUCUGAACUGCACUCGCCGUGCCAGCCUAUGCAUGUUUACUCCAGAGUAAAGUCCGCGUUUACUCUCGCGUAAUUCUUGCAGGCUAAGAGAAGGACUCCUGCCGGUUUCUGUUGCUUAGUGCCCUGUUGGGUUCAGUUCUUGCUUUGCGUGCCAAAGUUCAUCAAUCUGGGCAUUCCAGGAAAAAGAUCUGGGUUAGAGGUGCAAAAAAUCCUUCUCUGCUGCCCCUUGCUCUUCUGGGCUCUGACUACUGCAAACUUCUCCCCUUUUCCAGGCGUAGCCAGGAAUUUUUGUCACGAGGGUCAGGCCUUUUGUUGGGGGGAGGAGAGCAGAACCUCAGUUAGCUAUGCAUUUUUAUUGAUUUUUGUUGAUGGGAGGAAGCUGCCCCUCCCUGCCCCCGCUUGGCUGCCCCUGCAUCCCCAUGUCUCACUUUGACCUUAACUCUGCCCAACACUUUUUCCCACAAGCAUCCCCCUUCACUCCUCUUAUCAUCUGACACCCUUCCUUAAAUCCUUAGACUGACAUCCUGUCUUGUCUCAAAUCCCACACAUGUUUCCAGUCCCUACAGGUCACAGGCCUCCCUUGGCCAGCUUUACAUGAGCUCCUGGACCUUUUCUCUCCCAGUUUGUCAGCACCCCCCACUUUCCAAAUGUUUCCUGGCCUUCCAAGCGUGCCAGGGACUCUCCCAGAUUACCACCAUGGUGUUCAGGUACGACUUCAGGAGUGGGAGCACUCUGGAGCCGUCCUUUAGGGUGGAGGAAGUGCCAGCAUCCCUGCUAGUGCCUUCAAUAGCCAACCUCCAAACCUCUGCAGCACUUCAGGGAUUAAAAUGGUGGGUGGUCCUGCUCCCCUCCUCCUUGCCAUUUCCACAGCUUUCAUCAUUCAGAGCACCACCAAAAACGGAGGCCCAAUUUGGCCAGGCUCCCCUGCCUUGCAGUCAAUGUCAUCAUUUCCUGCUGGUGCUGGUGACCAAGGCCCUGUGCUUAUACAACCAUCACCCCAGUCAGCCGAUUGCUGAACUCUUGCCCAACCCUGUUCAUACCACAAAGGAGAAUGAUAUCAGACUGCUGCCAGGUGAUUGACAAAUGGAUAGCCCUGCCUAGCUGUCUAUAAUCCCUGGGGUUUGGGGGAGGUCAGGCUCUUGCCUGCUCUCUGAAUCUGGUCCUUCUCCUGCCCUGUUCCGUGCCCUCCAGUUUAAGAGAACUAAUCACAUUGACCCCAGAGUUCAGUCUACUGUCAGUUUGUUUCACUGAGGCAAAAAAAAAUGCACACCAAGCAUGAAACAUCCCAUGCAUUCAACCGUGUGCUCAGUGAGCACAAAGAGAGAGACAGAGAGCUUUCAAUGAAAGUGUUUUAAUGCUGUGCUGUUUUUAUUGUAAUUAUCUGUAUGUUUUUAAUAGAGUUUUAUUUUUAGCUCUAUGAAAAUUUUAUUGUAUUUCAUUAUUGAGGGGUUUUUCCUAUGCUUUCAGCUGUUCGUAUUUUUAUCUGUACCUUGUGUCCCUGUCAGGGGAAAAGGAGGGAUAUAAUUAAAUUUGUAAUUAUAAUAUACAUUUUACACAUAUUUAAAUAUGCAUGUUGAGCUCUUUCAUGCCAUGAGGGACCCUGGUUGGCCUCGUGUGGAAGAUAUGUAGGGCCCUUUUCAUGGUUGCCAAAUGACACAGCCAGCAGAUGUGUGUCUAGUCCUCAUGUCGGCAUCAGGCCCCAACUCCAAGCCCCACUUAUCUGGCCCUCAGAACUCUCCCCUGUCCUUGCUUUGCGCCUCAAGGGAUUUUGCCUUGCUGGAAUAUGUCCUGGGAGUCUUAGAAUGCUUCUUGCUUGUUCUGGGUGGAGGGUGGAGAAAGGGAGGAGGAAAUGUGGCCCUCAGGCUGAAAAAUGUUCUCCACCCUUGGAUUAGUGUGAUGUAGAAAUCAGAAGAAAUGGAGGCACUGAGAGAUUUUACUUUCUUGGGCUCCGUGAUCACUGCAGAUGGUGACAGCAGUCACAAAAUUUAAAGACGCCUGCUUCUUGGGAGGAAAGCAAUGACAAACCUAGACAGCAUCUUAAAAAGCAGAGACAUCACCUUACCAACAAAGGCCCAUAUAGUAAAAGCUAUGGUUUUCCCAGUAGUGAUGUAUGGAAGUGAGAGCUGGACCAUCAAGAAGGCUGAUCGCCAAAGAAUUGAUGCUUUUGAAUUAUGGUGCUGGAGGAGACUCUUGAGAGUCCCAUGGACUGCAAGAAGAUCAAACCUAUCCAUUCUGAAGGAAAUCAGCCCUGAGUGCUCACUGGAAGGACAGAUCCUGAAGCUGAGGCUCCAAUACUUUGGCCACCUCAUGAGAAGAGAAGACUCCCUGGUAAAGACCCUGAUGUUGGGAAAGAUGGAGGGCACAAGGAGAAGAGGACGACAGAGGACAAGAUAGUUGGACAGUGUUCUCAAAGCUACCAGCAUGAGUUUGACCAAACUGCAGGAGGCAGUGGAAGACAGGAGUACCUGGCAUGCUCUGGUCCAUGGGGUCACGAAGAGUCGGACACGACUAAACAACAAGAAAUCAGAAAUCAAUGGCUGUGUAGUUCUCUCCCAAACAGUGGACUAGCUACCAUUAUUAAGCAGCUGCCUAAACAGGAAUGAGGAAGGUUUUAUAUAAUCUGGUUAAAUUAACUGCAGCUAGUGCCUUGUAAAACAGACAUGAUGUGCCGCAGGUGGUUUUUACCUUUCGGUUGUCGCUUCAAAUUAAUGGAAAUACAGCCAGCAGGCAAGGCGUAUGGAACUCAGAUAUGGAUCAAUCAUGCAUAUAUAAAAGCUAAACGCUGCUUUACCAGAGUCAUCGGUUCUCACCCUUUGUCAGCUGAUCCAUAAGGCCUUCGCCUAAGUCAAGAUCGGUGACAAAAUUACGAGGUCCUCGGUGCCUUUCUUUUUAAGAUAAUUUUGUACAUUGUACAACUUUCAGGAGGGGGGAAUCUUGCAAGAUUUCCAGCUCAUCUGGGGUAUUUUUACCUUUGAAACAAAUCUUUUUUUAAAAAAAAUGUGAACAAUAGGAAGCUGUCAUGGGCAGAAUCAGACCAGUGCUAUAUCUAGUUCAGUACAGUCGUACCUCGGAAGUCGAACAGAAUCCAUUUCGGAAGUCCUUUCAACUUCCGAAACAUUCAGCUUCCAAAGCACAGCUUCUGAUUUCUUUAUGGUUUCUUCACUGCCUCCAAGCUGUUUGCAAACGCCUGCUGCAUCUGCAACAGUUACCUGAGCAGGGUCUCUUCUGCUACAGCAUAGGAACUAGCCUAUCUACAAUGAUGCCGUAGGGAACAGGAGUUGUUCAUGCCUUUUGUUUCUCUUUCCUCUCCAGGCUUCUGCAAGGACAAAGUUCCUGGCAGUCUGGAUGCCAUUGUCAUUGGAAGCGGCUAUGGGGGCCUGGCGGCGGCCGUGAUGCUCUCUAAAGCUGGGAAGCGCGUGCUGGUCUUGGAGCAGCAUGGGAAGGCAGGGGGCUGCUGCCAUACCUUCAACGAGAAAGGUUUCGAGUUUGACGUGGGUAAGGUGACCUAGUCAGGCUGGGCAUGGGCCGGAGCAGUUAUAUAUAUAUCCUUGGACUUGUAAUGAGGACUAAAUCUUGCUUGUAUUCCCAGUACGUUUCUGAGCACAAUUCAAAGUGUUGGUGCUGGCCUUUAAAGCCCUAAACGGCCUCAGCCCAGUAUACCUGAAGGAGCAUCUCCAGCCCCAUUGUUCUGCCCGGACGCUGAGGUCCAGCUCUGAGGGCCUUCUGGCGGUUCCCUCCCUGCGAGAAGUGAGGUUACAGGGAACCAGGCAGGGCCUUCUCGGUAGUGGCGCCCCUCCUUGCAGAACGCCCUCCCAUCAGAUGUUAAGGAAAUAAACAACUAUCUGACAUUUAGAAAACAUAUGAAGGCAGCCCUGUUUAGGGAAGUUUUUAAUGUUUGAUGUUUUAUUGUGUUUUAAUAUUCUGUUGGGAGCCACCCAGAGUGGCUGGGGAAACCCAGCCAGAUGGCAGGGUAUAAAUAAAUUAUUAUUAUUAUUAUUAUUAUUAUUAUUAUUAUUAUUAUUAUUAGCAUUGGCUUUAUAUGACCUCUGAAUGGAACUAGUAUACUGCAUUUUGCACCAGUUGGCUUUCCCAAAUCAUCUUCAAGGACGGCCCCAUGUACAAUGCAUUGCAGCAGUCAAAUCAGGAGCUUACCAGAGCUUGGAGUACAGUAGGACUGGCUUUGGGUCUUGGUUCAGAAACUGCAGCUAGCGCAGAAUACUUUGACUUAUGGGGCAUCUUCCCAGCAACAGGUAAAAACAGCACUGAAUGCUCUGCAAUGGCUUCCAAUGUGCCACUGACCCAUAUUGAAAGAGCUUGUUUUGACAUAUAAGGCAGCUCAGGACCCAGAUACCUGAAAGACCUCCUCCUUGAUAUACCGCCCUAGGCUUUGAGGCCUUUGACAGUUGCCCUUCUCACAGUGCUGUAUGAGAGGGAAUUCUCAGUAGUGGCACCCCAACUCUGCCCUUCCUUCACAGAAGUAGCAGCACCAUCAAAACAAAGUAAGAACACAGCUCUUCACCCAAAAGUGCUGUGCCUCAGCUGGAUGAUAUGGUUGCAUUGCUAAUAUAUUUUCUAUUUUUACCGAUAAUAUGUUAGCAAUGUAACUAUAGCAUCCAGUUUAAAUGUUUGAAGGUGCAUUCUGUGAUUUGAAUGAAAAAUUGCUUUAUUAUACGUUAAUGCUGUUCCUUGUGGAAUCGUGCAGAAAAUGAAAACGCUGUCAUAAAUAAUUUAAAUUUUUAAAAAUGAGAGCAUUAAAACUAAAGCAGGCCUUGCAUGAUAUCUAGCACAGGGCUGGGUACCUCAGGUCUGGAGGGCCAAAUAUGGCCCUUGGAGCCUUCUCCAGACCAUGUGUUCCUCACUGACCCUGCUUCACACCCCAAAUGUUUUUGUUUGGCUGGAAGAGUUGGAAGAGACCCUGAGGAUCAUCUAGUCCAGGGGUCAGCAACCUAAGGCCCAUGGGCCAGGAGCGACCCAUGGAGGUCGUUUGACCGACCCACAAGCCACCACUGAACCAAGCUGACCACUUGCGUGCUGCGCUAAACCAGCGCAGCGCGGCACAGGGACUCGCUUCUGCGGCGCCGGAAAUCAUGUCUGCGCAGACGCCGGAAAUCUCGGGCACGCACACGAUCCAGCCCAUGGAGGGAUCUCCGCAGGGCCAAUCCAGCUCAGGCAAGAUAAACCUUGCUGACCCAUACUAGUUGAACCCCCUGCAAUGCAGGAAUUCGCAGCCGUCCCAUGCAAACCUGCAACCUUGGCUUUAUCAGUGCCGUGCUCUAACCAGCUGAGCUAUCCAGGCAUAUGUAUGCUUGAACUCGGACAAUAAGUAACCAAACAAACCCCUGUGUUGCAAAGAGAACGUCAGCAAUGUCUAGGAAACACAAUGAUCAUGUACAUACGCAAUAGACAAUCUUUUAUAGAAUUCCUUCAAACCAUAACAAGUACAAAAUGAAAUCUUUAGUCUCAAAGUCUCUGAAAAUCUUUAAAUGAAGCGAGGUAUCAGACUUUGUGUGAUGAAAGACAAGCUGUGAAGCUUUGUGUAUUCAGUAAAUAUGAUGUCCAACACUGAACAGUGAUUCCGGAUAUUGACUACUGUUUCGUAGAAUUCUUCAUCAGCGUGGUGGGAGGAUAUAGAAUUUCUUCAUAAACCCAUCUUAUUUUGAAUGAAUGUAUGUAAACGAAAAUAUCAAAUGCUGUGGAACAGUGCUCAUGUAGUAAUGUAGUCAUUACUACAUGAUAUUUUGCUGGUAUUUUAUUAAGCUGGUUCAUUUUAUUUAUUUAACAAAAUGUAUAUGCCAUAAAAUCUCUUAGUUUAGAGAAAUAUCUCAUCCAAAUACCAGGUUCCAGUUUAGUAUACCCUUCCCAGAUCCUAAAAUUUAGGAGCUAAUCUGUUGCUAUUGUUCUUUCACUAUAACACUUCGUGGGUUUUCUUCCAGGGAUCCAUUACAUAGGGCAAAUGCAAGAGAAUUCUUCCCAGCGCAUGAUUAUUGACCAACUCACAGAUGGGCAGCUCCAAUGGGCCCAGAUGGACUCUCCCUUUGAUACGGUUAUUCUGGGAGAUCCUGACAACUGCAAGAGGUAUUACCUAUACAGUGGGAAGAAGAAAUAUACCGAAGGCCUAAAGAAACAAUUUCCUGGUGAAGAAGCUAAUAUUGAUAGAUUUGUGACACUUAUAAAGGUAAGCCUUUUAAAAGUGGUUCUGGUGAAAGGCCUCUUAAACUGGCUAUCGAGUCUUAAUUGGUUUACAUUAAUAAGGUUUUUUUUAACCAAAAAAAACCCAGUUUAAAUGUAUAUACUAUAUAAUUAAUUAAAUCUAUCCUUUAUUAGGCAUAGCAAACCACACAUUAUCAGACACCGUAUACAAAUUGUGCAAAAUACGAGCUCAACAUAACAAGGUUUGUCCCAGUAAGAUCUUUAACUCCAGAAAAAAAACCAAUUUGCAUAAAUAAUACAAUACAACAUUACCACAUCACCAAUCAAUUAAGAACCACUAGAUCUCUUUAUAAUGGCCCGGUCUUUCUACAUGGACAGCACUAAAAAAUUCAGCCACUAUUAAAGUAAUUUGAUCAUUCCUGUCCGAGAUCAGGUCCUGAACCAUUGGUAGCAUAGAAUUGAGCCUAUUGUGUUGUAAGGCCUCUAAUAAUUUUCUUCUGGCACAAAUGCCAAAAUCACAAGAAAAGAAAAUGUGCUCCAAAGUAUCAGGUUCCUGUUUACUACAUUUGCAGAGACGCUCUGAUUCUGGGAGAGCUAAAUAUCUUCCUCUUACUAUCUUCGAGGGAAACAUUAAAUCUGGCUAACAUAAACAGCCUGCACAAUUCAUGAUUCUUCAGAUUUGUCGUGUAUCCCUUUUGAAAAUCUCUACACAAAGGGAGAUUGAAACAGAGAGGAGAGCAAGUGCUCUGCUUUGCAACCUCGAGAGUGGAGAGAACACUUUUUUUCUGUAAGAUUCUUCCUGAUAAUUUCCCAAAUAUCUUUGGGGUCAGAAUUUUCAAAGUCAGUUAGAUUAAGCCCUAUCGAGUUCAAUUUUCUCCUACAAAUCAAUGAUAAAUUGUAAUUACAUUAUAUACUAUAUAAAUGUAGUACAUUUCUUCCAAGUUGCUCAAGGCAGUGCACAUACGGUUCUUCCCUCCCCAUUUUAUCCUCAGAACAACCCUGUUUGGUAGGCUGAGCUGAAAGACAGUGAGUGUACCUAAAAUCACCCAGUAAGCUUCAUGUGCUUUGCAGUUUUGCUCUCCAGCUACUUCCUUGUGCUUAGCAGAACAAAAUGCUAAAAUUCUCAGUCCUUGUGCUUGUAACACUGAUGUCGUCAUCUUUUAAAUUUUGUUCAGUUUUUUAACAAUUUAACAGUGUGUAACGCUUAUACAUUCUCGAUCUAGAUAACACAGAAACAAAUAAGAAACAUUUCUGAUGGAAAUAUUCUAUAAUAGUACAGUGGUACUUCAGUUUUCAAAUGUACAGUCAUACCUCAGGUUAAAUAUGCUUCUAGUUGAGCGCGUUCGAGUUGCGCUCCUCGGCAACCCGGAAGUAACGGAGCGCAUUACUUCCGGGUUUCGCCGCUUGCGCAUGUGCAGACGCUCAAAAUGACGUCAUGCGCAGAAGCGGCGAAAAGUGAUGCGCACGUGCGCAGACAUGCCAUCGCUAGUUAUGUUUACCUCUAGAUGUAAACGGGGCUCCGGAACGGAUCCCGUUCGUAUCUAGAGGUACUACUGUAAUCCAUUCCGGAAGACCGUUCGAGUUCUGAAACGUUCAAAAACCAAAAACUCAGCAGCUGGCAGCUAGACCUCAGAAUCUUGCACUCAGCAGAAGCCCUGUGGCAUGUUAGACAUCCAAGGCGUCUUUGUAUUGGCAAGAAGUUAUAUGAAAUCAAAAUACGGAAUAGACGGGAGGUUGGGUCUUUAGUGUUAAGACCAAUUUAUAUCUUAUUGUUUGAUAAGAAAAUUCUGUGUCUAUUGCUAUUUCUGUGUGUACCGUAUUUUUCACUCUAUAAGACGCACAUUUUCCCCUUCAAAAAUUAAGAGGAAAUGUGUGUGCGUCUUAUGGAGCGAAUGCAGGCUCCUUGGCUUCAGCAAUAGCAACGCGAAGCCUCCUAAGUGCAGAGGGAGAGCUCCCCCUGCGCUCCGGAGGCUUCGUGUUGCUUUCGCUGAAGCCGCCUGAAGCCCCUGGAGCGCAGCGCAAACUCCCACUGCGCUCCGGGGGCUUCAGGUGGCUAUCCGCAAGCCUUCGGAGCGCAGUAGGAGUUCCCGCUGCGCUCUGAAGGCUUGCAGAUAGCCGCCUGGAGAGCGAGAGGGGUCGGUGCACACCGAUCCCUCUUGCUCUCCAGGCUUCGCUUCGCUGGAGAGGCGCUGCACAGUUUUCCCUCUCUGCGCAGCGCCCCUUAGGGGCUCCGUUUCUCCUGCCGCUUCACUGAGCAGAGAGGGGGAGAAUUUUUUUUUCCUGUUCUCCACCUCCUAUGGUCCGGUGCGUCCUAGAGAGCGAAAAAUACGGUAAUUUGGUGUUUGUGUUUUCUCUUUUUUCUUUUCUUGCUGUAUCAAUAAUUUUUUUUUGUAAAAAAGGCAUCUUUAUAAACUGAAGCAUUUACUCUUGGUUUACAGCGUUCGUAAACCGAAAUGUUCGUCAACGGAGACGUUCAAAAACCGAGGUGCCACUGUAUAGCUAUUAGUUAACAUCAAGAAAAGAAAACAAAAGAGAGAGAAAGCAGGGAAGGGAGAGCAGGGAAGGGGAAAAACAAGAAGAGAGAUGAAGGAUCUGUUUGUUGAAAAUCAGACAACAUUUCUUAUGUAUGUUCAUUAGCAUUAAGACGGAGGUCUUCUGCUGCCUCUGAGAUUUGUGCCUCACUGUUUUUCCUUCUUUCUCUGCCCCUCCACCUUGCAGAAAACUGCCAGAGGGAGCAUCCACAUGGGGAUUCUGAAAAUGCUCCCGAUGCCCUUGGUCUGGUUUGUGAACCGCACUGGCCUGCUGGCCUGGAUCUCUCCUUUCUUUAGAAUGUCAGUCAGAAGCCUUUCAGAAGUGGUGGCUGAGUUGACAACAAAUGCAGACCUGAGAGCAGUCUUCAGUUAUAUCUUCCCUACCUACGGUAAGCGAUACCCUCCCCUGCCAUCUGAAAGGAGCAUACGUUACAUAAGGACAGUCCCUUUGCCCUUUCUAAGGAGGCAUAAAGGAGCCUUUCCUAGUUUCAUCUGGUUGAUUAAACUUAUAACUUUGGUAAUAGAGACAGGGGGACGCAGGUGGCGCUGUGGGUUAAACCACAGAGCCUAGGACUUGCCGAUCAGAAGGUUGGCGGUUUGAAUCCCUGCGACGAGGUGAGCUCCCAUUGCUCGGUCCCUGCUCCUGCCAACCUAGCAGUUCAAAAGCACAUCAAAGUGCAAGUAGAUAAAUAGGUACUGCUUCAGCGGGAAGGUAAACGGUGUUUCCAUGUGCUGCUCUGGUUCACCAGAAGCAGCUUAGUCAUGCUGGCCACAUUACCUGGAAGCUGUACGCCGGCUCCCUCGGCCAAUAAAGCGAGAUGAGUGCCACAACCCCAGAGUCGGUCACAACUGGACCUAAUGGUCAGGGGUCCCUUUACCUUUUAAUGGAGACAGGAGGCUACUCAUCUGAGAGAGUAAAAGUGGCAUGAUCCUGACUAUUAUGUGGGAUACAGUCAUCAAAGGUUCUCAGGCAGGGUGGAAGGAGAAAGAACUUGCCCAUGUGAAGACCACCUGGUGGAAACCCUCACACAUAUGGUUCUUAAUUGUAAACUAUAUGCUGAUCUCCGUCAGCAAUUUCUAGAUCAACUCUGCAUCCCCAAAUGGAAACCAGAGUUGGAGGUCAUACAUUUUCUAUUACUGGGGAAUGAUCAGGAGCUCACCAAGUUAGUGGCUAAAUAUCUCUAUUUGGUUUUUUGCCGUCGAAAUACCCUGCAGACGUCUGAUCUCCCUGGAGACCUAGAGAUGUGACAAUAGACUGCUCUGCCUCCUUUCUUUUAGCAAAUGUUUUGUGCCACUGGGGAAGUGGUAAUUCUGUAUUGAUUUGGUUUGGAUGUUUGGAUGUGAUGCCAAUAAAAGGUUUGAAGAUGAUGAUAAAGGAGCCUCUUCUGUGUGUGGGUGGAAUUAGACAAUGAAGAGAAUAUCAACACAGCAGCCGCUGAUAUCAAGAGUCUAGGGUCUCCUCCUUGCCCUUGUACCGUCCAGUAAAAAUCAAAAGUAUUACUUGUCGUUGUGUUGAGUUUCCCUGGGCCUACAAAUGACAGCCUAUGAAGUGUAGAAGAGGGGGAGAAGCUUAGCAUGAUAACCUCCUGUCAUAUGUUGAAAUUGACCCUAUGUCACCAGCAGAGAUGGAACAAAGAGACACAACACUGCUGCUUUCAGUGGCAGCCGUGUGUAAUGAACAUGGGAAGCUAGUUCAUCAAGCUCAGUAUUGUCUCACUGUUGGUGCCUCUCCAAGAUCUCAGGCAAAGGUCUUUGACUUCACCUUCUGUCUGAUCCUUAUUUUAACCAGGGUGCAGGCUGGGGGUUAAACUUAGGACCUUCUGCAUGCAUGCAAAGCAUGUGCUCUGUCAAUCCACUCUUGAUAGAUUCAAAGAACCACUGGAUUUAGCUUACACAGGAUGAGAUGAAUGGAAAACAGUUUAUUCUGGGAGAUCCUGACAACUGCAGGUUUGAUUGUUUGGUUGCAACUGUUUGUUUGUUUGUUUGUUUGUUUGUUUGUUUGUUUGAUUGCAAGUGUUUGAUUUAGCAGACAGGAUGAGACGAAAUGGAUUAUAAAAAUGUUCAUGCAAGUUACUUGCAAUUUAUUGCUGAGAUGGAAUAGUAACCAGCUUAAGACCUUGACAUAUGCAAAGAUGAGCAAAACAUUGUGAUUAAUGGAAUCUACGAAGAGCACAAUAGCUGUUGAAGCCAUAACAUGCUUGGUUUCAUUUUGAGAAAGAUGCUGAUAGGAAUUAAGUUUCUGAUAUGAGACCUCUUCUGGCAUUCAGAGUAUAUAUAUGUGCGGGAAAGCUGUGUGCAAAGAAUUUUUUUUCACCUUUUGUUUACACAGUUUCAGUUCUUUUGCUUUGUCUUACAGGGGUGAUUCCUGCAGAUUGCAGCUUCCCUUUGCACGCCAUCCUUGUCGAUCACUUUUUGGAAGGUGCCUGGUACCCUCAGGGAGGUUCCAGUGAAAUCGCAUUUCACUCCAUCCCCAUCAUUGAACGUGCCGGAGGGGCUGUCCUCACCAAAGCACCUGUGCAGAGCAUCUUGGUGAACUCGCAAGGAACAGCCUGUGGUGAGUUGCGGACUGGAUAGAGCUCUCUGUAAGAGUCAUCGUGAUAUGUGGCUAAGGUACCAGGCUUAUAAGUCAAGCUCCUGGUUCAAAUAUAGACUCUGCCAUGAAUUAGCUCAAUUAUCUCAGGUAAGCUUCUCAGCCUUGUACCCUCCCCAUUUCCGACAUGAGGAUAAUACUGAUCUGUCCUACAAGGUUAUUAUUGUAAGGAUUAUAACAAGGUGAUAUUAUAAUAUGAAUGCUAAUGUGCUAUAUAAAUAUGCGUUUAAGUCUUAAUAAUGUUAUCUGUUCUCUCCAAGCGCUUGGCAUAGAUAGACCCACUUUGCAAGAAACACUAAGCCCCAUAUUCCUCCAAUGCAGAGCUGUUUCUCUUCUGCUGCAGUUCAGCUUCCAACAACAACAACAAAUUAUUCAUCUCGCAGUGUGAUACGGUGAAAUUUUACGUAAUUAAUUGCAAAAUUAAUUUCGUAUGGAUUGCGUUAUUCCACACCAUUUAUUUUAGUGCCAAGAAAACUCAGUAAAUGGGGAAAGGGGAAGAGGAGACUCUUAGCUUCCUAAGAACUAAGGGGAUAAAGGAUCCUGCCAAAGCUCUUCCCACCCACAUUAAACUUCCUUAAAGACAUAUAAGCUGCUUACCUGCUUAAACCCUCCCUUUUAAUUACACUGACCCUCCCGUGCUGGUGGAAAUAAUAUCUGUAUUUUUUAUAAAUAUCCUCCAGCGUGCAAUACAUCUACAAAAUAUGGCUGAUAACAUGACUUGCCUUGCAAGGUUGCUGUAAGAAUUAAUGGAAACCCUUGCAACAUUGAGGGCCAGCCCCCAAAAAAACCUUUUUAAAAAGUACCUCGUUACCCAUCAGUUUCUAGCUUCUACCUAGAAAUGGUCAUUUGUUGAGACUUCCCUGCAACCAGCAGAAAAUGAUUCCUCCUUUUUUCUUGCUUAGAGAAAUCUAAAAGAAAUGUUUUAUGGACUAUAUACACUUUUGCCUCUUUCAGGUGUAAGCGUAAAGCAAGGUCAAGAUCUUGUUAAUGUCUAUGCUCCUGUUGUGAUUUCUGAUGCUGGCAUCUUUAACACCUAUGAGCAGCUCCUGCCAAAGGAAUUGCGAGCUUUGCCAGGUAAGAGGACACAGAACAAUUUGUGCUUCCACUAUUGUAGAUGUAUGGUGGACUUGUAAUUGUGUGUGUGUGUGUGUGUGUGUGUGAGAGAGAGAGAGAGAGAGAGAGAGAGAGAGACCAUAAAAUGUAGACUUCUUUGCCAGUUUUCAUACCACAGGGUGGGUGGGUGCACACACACACACACACACACACACACACACACAAAGAGAGUUUUGUAAUUCCAGUAUUAUACUGCCAGUAACUACAGUUUGCCUUUGUGGGUUUUGUUUCGUUUUUUAGAAAGACUACAUAUCCUAAAGACGUAAGAGAUCAAAAUAUACAACCCUCAACUAAUUGUGUCCUAUGAUUCAACUGCUAGGAGGAGCUUGCAUUUGUGUGUGUGUGUGUGUGUGUGUGUGUGUGUGUGUGUGUGUUCUUAGCACUGAAUGUAGCAUAGCUGGUAAAUGUUGCUUUCCCUAAGCUUUCCCAUAGUAGACUUUUGUUGUCGUUGGGCUCGUAUCAGCCCCAGACAGCUAGGGAUAAUGGGAGUAGUGAUUUACCAUCUGGAGGGCCGCUCUUAAAACAAUAAGACAUUCUUGUCUGUCUUCUCAAGCCUUUUGUUUCUUCCGUCCUCUUUUAUACUAUACAGUGGUGCCUCAGGUUAUAUAUGCUUCAAGUUACAGACUCUGCUAACCCAGAAAUAAUACCUGGGGUUAAGAACUUUGCUUCAGGAUAAGAACAGAAAUCGCGUGGCGACAGCGGGAGGCCCCAUUAGCUAAAGUGGUGCUUCAGGUUAAGAACAGUUUCAGGUUAAGAACAGACCUCUGGAACGAAUUAAGUACGUAACCCAAGGUACCACUAUACUGUAAGCCUAGGGGUUGCUUGACUUAAGACUGUUGUUUUCCUCCAGUUUUCCUGUCUAAAACAGCUGUUGCUUGGAUUCUUAACUCUGCUUCCCUUGUCCCACUUCCUCCCUCCUUACAUCCCUCUGUUCCUCUUUGGGCAGGUGUUCAGAACCAGAUCUCUAUGAUAGAUCAUGGCGUCGGAGGAUUCUGUGUCUUCAUAGGACUGAAAGGUUCCAAGGAAGAACUGGGAUUGGAAGCCAAAAACUACUACAUCUACCCACACAACAACCUCAAUGAAGCGUAAGUGGCAGCAGCUGGGAACUCCAUUGGUUUGCGGUGGUUUGGUUUUGUUUUUUAAAAACAGCAAUACAAGUUAAUCCAGCAGGGCUCUUCUUAAAGUAAGUUGUGUUCAGAGGGCAAAUCGGUGAAGAAUGCAGCCAGAAGUUCAAGGCAUGAAAUCUUAGUGCACCACUUCAAAUUAGAGCUUGUCGGUAAAGGUAAAGGGACCCCUGACCGUUAGGUCCAGUCGCGGAUGACUCUGGAGUCGCGGCCGAGGGAGCCGGCGUUUGUCUGCAGACAACUUCCAGGUCAUAUGGCCAGCAUGACUAAGCUGCUUCUGGUGAACCAGAGCAGCACACGGAAACACUAUUUACCUUCCCGCUGGAGCGGUACCUGUUUAUCUACUUGCACUUGACAUGCUUUUGAACGGCUAGGCUGGCAGGAGCAGGGACCGAACAAUGGGAGCUCACCCCAUCAUGGGGAUUCUAACCGCCAAGCUUCUGAUUGGCAAGCCCUAGGCUCUGUGGUUUAAACCACAGCGCCAUGUCCAUUUAGUUUCUUUAGCUGCUGUACCCACAGCCCCUUCUCUUUGUUCUUGUAUGUAGAUAAAGCGCCGCAAACAAUCUUGUACAUUGGCCCUGAACUCAAGCGUGCAAAAUACACAUGAGUGUAUUUGGGUUGGGUGCAUAUGAAUUUAAUGUUCACAUCUUUUUCUACUGGCUCAACCAAACUUUUUUCUUUUUCUUAAAAAACUUAAAAAAGAAAAAAAACUGACCAGGAAUACAGUGGUACCUCGGGUUAAGUACUUAAUUCGUUCCGGAGGUCCGUACUUAACCUGAAACUGUUCUUAACCUGAAGCACCACUUUAGCUAAUGGGGCCUCCUGCUGCUGCCGUGCCGCUGGAGCCCAAUUUCUGUUCUUAUCCUGAAGCAAAGUUCUUAACCUGAAGCACUAUUUCUGGGUUAGCGGAGUCUGUAACCUGAAGCGUAUGUAACCUGAAGCGUAUGUAACCUGAGGUACCACUGUAUUGAGAACUACAAUCUGUUCACAGGUGAACGUUUUGGAUCUUGGUGCAGAACGUGGCUCAGAUCAGCACAAUGGAUAUGGCCUUUACCUCAGGAAAGAUUGUGGUCAGUGCUUGAAAAGAGACACUGGCAACUAAAAGUUUUGGCCUAGCUAGCCAAAAAUCAUAGAUAUUAGAAACUAUGCCACCUUUAACUGUCCAUAUAUAUAUAUAUAUAUAUAUAUAUAUAUAUAUAUAUGCCUCCAGCCUUAAAAGAGAUGGUAAGAAAAACUGGAAUAACACAGCGAAAAAAAUGAAUGUAUGUAAUGGGAAAAUGCAGAAAUAAUUUUUAAUAUAUAUAUAUUUACUAUAAUACAAAAGUGACACUUUAAUUAAAGUUUUAUGAAUCAAAGCUCAGGCAAAGUUUUCCUUCUUGAUAGGUUCACUUCUUACAUUAAUUCUUCAAGAGAAACUGCUCCAGAAAAGAUUCCUUUCCUGUAUAUUGGAUCCUCGUCAGCAAAGGACCCCCUGUGGGAAAAGAGAUUCCCAGGUAUGAACUUUCUUCUUUUUUAAAAGGGAUGGCGGGGGAGAGAGAAGAUUUGGGAAUUUGGGGCUCCAGGAAGGCAAGUUGUAGCCCUUGGCUUAAUUUCAUGCAUGUGACCAGGAGGGAGGAAAAGGUAAUAACAGUAAUAAUCUAUUACUUAUACCCCGCCCAUCUGGCUGGGCCUCCCCAGCCACUCUGGGCAGCUCCCAACAGAAUAUUAAAAACACGACAAAACAUCAAACAUUAAAAACUUCCCUAAACAGGGCUGCCUUCAGAUGUCUUCUAAAAGUCAGAUAGUUGUUUCACCGCUGUGGCCCUGGGGGAAUGUGGACCUCAGCAUAAAAACAGUUUCCGGCCCCUAAUAGAAGACCGGCCUGCUGGAUAUCAGGCCAAUGGUCCAUCUAGUCCCAGCAUCCUCUUCUCACAGUGACCAGUCAGAUGCCCAUGGGAAGCUUGCAAGCGGGACAUGAGCACAAGAGUGCUCUUCCCAUCUGGUAUUCCCAGCAAUUGGCAUUUGGGGGCAUUUACAGGACCACCUCUCCUGGUAUGCCCCGCAGAGGACCUUAAGGUCCAUGAAUAAUCAUAGUGUAGAGGUCCUGGGCCCUAAGGAAGUCAGAUUAUCCUCCACCAGGGCCAGGGCCUUCUCAGUGAUGGCUCUGACCUGGUGGAAUGCUCUGUUCCAUGAGACCAGGGCCCUGCAGGACUUAACUUCCUUCCACAGGGCCUAAGACGGACCUAUUCCGUCUGGCAUUCAAUUUGAACUUAGCCUGAUCUUUUAUUCCCCUUCCUUCCCUCCCACUCCCCUUUUAUGGAGAUUACCCACUCUGGGAUCCCACAGCUAAUUCUCCCCUGGUCUCCUCGCUGGCCCAAAUAGGACUAAUUUAGCCAGCUAGCCCUGGUGAUCAUCUAAUGUUAAUUGAAUGGAUUUCCCCCCAAAUUGAUUUUUGAAUUCUGAAUUUAUUGUUAUUCCCUUUUUAUACUGUAUUUUAUGCUGUUUUUUGUUGCAUCAAUUAAGUGUUUUAAAUCUGUUGUUAGCCGCCUUGAGCCCGGUUUUCUGAACUGGGAAGGGUGCGGUAUAAAUAAAAAUUUAUUAUUAUUAUUAUCGUGCCUCUUAGCCACGGAGGUAGAGCACAGCCAUUGUGGCUAGCAGCUGUGGCUGGCCUUCUCCUCGAUGAAUUUGUCUGAACCUCAUUUAAAGCCGUCCAAGUUGGUAGCCAUCGCUGCUUCCUGUGGGAGGGAUUUGCAUCGUUUAACUGUGCCCUGCAUGACUUUCUUUUUAUCCAUCCUGUUUUGCUUCAGUCUGGGUUUGAUCCAGGAUGGUGGGCGUAUGAGCCAGAGACAUGGUCAUGAACGAGCUGGAGAUCAGAUUAUCAGAUCAAGGAAACGAGAGCUGAUAGCAGGAGGCCUGCUCAAGGACAGGCUGGAGGCACUGGCGGAGGAAGGGGUGGGUGGUGGGUGCGGUUUGCCCUGGGUGUCAUCCCUGAAGGGGGGUGACAUCGCUGCCCCACUGCCUGGGAUGCUAGCUCCGCCCCCGCGGGUGGCUAGCCCAUAGCUGUCAACUUACAGAUUUGAAAAUAAGGGACCAUCAGCCUCGAAAAUAAGGUAUCAGCAGCCAAAAUAAGGGAUUUUCAGGGCACAGGUAUGUUCAGCUUCUGAGCCCCUCCGGGCCAAAGGCAGAAAGCCCAGCCAGCAGCCAAACGAAGCCUCAAGCGAUGGUUCCCACAGUGCAGCAACCCAGAAAAGGAGAUGCAGCAAGGAAAACCACUGUCACCUCUCUGCUGGGAAGCGCUGAGCAAAGGCGAGUCCCCAGGCAACGCGGCCGAUUUGAUCAGCACAAGGCAUGCAAGCUCCACCCCCCAGUCGUUCUUAGACUCCUUAUUGGGUGAGCAACACAGCCAAGCAACACAGUUGGAGCCUCCCUCCUCCCUGGCCAGCAGGGAGGGAGGGAGAGGAGCUGCUUCCUUUGAAACCCGGGAAAUUUAACGGACAUCAUCAAUAAGGGACAGCAGCAGGACACAGCGCUGGGAUAAGGGAGUUUCCCGCCUAAUAAGGGACAGUUGACAGCUAUGGGCUAGCCCCACCCCUGUGCACCGCUCCAGGUGCCGGAGCAGCUAGCUCCACCUCUGGCUGGAGAUCAGACAGAUACUGGACAUAGCUGUCAACCUUACCUUUUUUUUGCGGGAAAUUCCCGUAUUCCAGCGCCGUUUCCCUCUGCUUCCCACUGCUAUCCCGGAUUGUUAGAUAUCCCGUAGACUGUCCCUGGGACAGGUGAGGCUGCUGAUCCCUUAUUUUCAAAUCUGAAAGUUGACAGCUAUGAUGCUGGACUGGAUCACUGCAGCAGCAUAAAGAGACAGAGUCUGCGUUAUUACUCAAAGGGGGAAAUUACUCAAACUACCAGCCUAGAGGAGAGUGGCUUUGUAAGCUUUCAGAAUAUUUAGAAUUAGCCAAAUUGACAGAUAUAAUAAGACAAAAAGCAAAAAGUGAAGUGAAAAAGGAAUGGGGGUGUCUAAAUGAAUACCUUAAAAGUCAAGGUUCGAGGACAGAAAUCUGGCUGAGUCUGGAAUAACCUUGUGAAGUGAAAGGAUAAGAAAGAGGGAUUUAUAUCUGGAUGCUAGGAUAGAGAUGAUAAGGAAAACAGGAAGACACAAUGAGAGGUAAAGGAGCUGCUGUGGGAUUGGUGGAAGUCAAUGUUUGUUUUUCCUUUUAGUGUUUAUAUUACUAACUUGUAAGAUAUGGAUUUGUUUUUGUUUUGUUUUUGAAUGUUGGUUUUUGUGUUUUGUGUACUGUUAUUUUUUGAUAUUUUUUGUGCUGUUGUUGUGUGGGAAAUACUAAUAAAAUUUAUAAUUAAAAAAAUUUAAAACAAAAAAACAAACUACCAGCCUAGAAGAAAGGUUUUUGUAGGGCCUGCUUCCAACAGUCAAGAAGGAAGUUUCUGCACGUGCUGUAGAGGAAGUGAGGGGCAGAUGGGCCUCAGCCUGGGAAGGUAACCCAUCUAAGAGAAGGAAGACUCUGAUCCUGAACUUCCGUUGCCUUGUGGAAGAAGAAAAGGCUAAGGAGUAAACCCUAUACAAAUUCAGAGUCGAGUCCCUAAGGCGGUUGGAUGGCGCCUUGUAUGUCUCCUUAAGCUGGUGCCAAACAUAUUAAUAAAUAAAUAAUAAUAAAAUUUAAUUUAUAUCCCGCCCUCCCCAGCUGAAGCCGGGCUCAGAGCGGCUAACAACAAUAAAAAUAACAUAGCAUUCUAAAAUCAAUUCAUUCUAAAAUCAAUUCAGAAUCAAAUUAAUGGCAACCAUUGGGCUAGAGUUCUGUGAGGAUUGCCAAAGGAGGGGGUCAGACUGUGCCUUGGCCAAAGGCCUGGUGGAACAGCUCUGUCUUGCAGGCCCUGCGGAAAGAUGUCAAGUCCCGCAGGGCCCUAGUCUCUUGUGACAGAGCGUUCCACCAGAUCGGGGCCACAGCCGAAAAAGCCCUGGCUCUGGUUGAGGCCAGCCUAACCUCCCUGUGGCCCGGGACCACCAAGAUGUUUUUGUGUGAAGCUCUGCUUUCCUUUGGACCACAUCAGUGAGAAAGGGGGUCUUAUCCUCUGGGCAGCCCAGGAGCUCCAUAUACACCCUGGGAAAAUCACUUUGGUGCUGCUGAGGCAGCUUUGUGACUGCAUGAAAACUCUGUUGUUUCUCAAGACGGAUGGAUUCCAAGAACUGUUUCCUCUUCAAAGAGCUGUAACAGCUGCUGAGAGCAUUCAGGCCAGUUCUGCAGCCUAGAGGGCAGCCUUGCUGUACGCAGCCUGGCUGUGCCUGUGGUAGAAGAGGCGUGAUGCCUCAGGAAACCCCAGCAUGAGUCAUAUCCUCACUUGACACCUUACAAAUCUGUGCAUAUAGGAUUGUGAGAUGCCGCUUUGUGACAACUACAUCGCUAAUGAAUGUCUUCAUAUCCCUUUCAUUAUAGGCAAGUCCACUCUAAUUGUCCUGACAGCUGCAAAGUAUGAAUGGUUUGAGGAAUGGAAGGAAGAAAAGGUUUCUAAGAGGGGAGCCGUGUAUGAGGCCUUUAAAAACAGUUUUGUGGACAACAUAAUGGACACGGUUUUGAAGGUUUACCCUCAAAUAAAAGAUCAGGUAAGAGCACUUUUAGUGUGUCAGCAAAUGAUUCUUAUUCUUGUACAAGAAUGGUGUCUUCUCUACUUCUUGAUGUAGAAGAGAGAGACCCUAAUCCAAUGCCAACAUCAGCCUUUAAGGUAAAGGGACCCCUGACCAUUAGGUCCAGUUGUGACCGACUCAGGGGUUGCGGCGCUCAUCUCGCUUUAUUGGCCGAGGGAGCCGGCGUACAGCUUCCGGGUCAUGUGGUCAGCAUGACUAAGCCGCUUCUGGCGAACCAGAGCAGCGCAUGGAAACGCCAUUUACCUUCCCGCCAGAGCGGUACCUAUUUAUCAACUUGCAUUUUGACGUGCUUUCGAACUGCUUGGUGGGCGGGAGCAGGGACCGAGCAACGGGAGCUGACCCCGUCGCAGGGAUUCAAACCGCCGACCUUCUGAUCGGCAAGUCCUAGGCUGUGUGGUUUAACCCACAGCGCCACCCAUGUCCCCUUAAACAUCAGCUUUUAUAAUUUCACAUAAGCCGCUCAAAACCCCGUUCCCUCCCAGCUUGCCCCGCCUUUUAUGCAGAAGUUAUAUCCCGGUCAUAAUGUUUGAUAAGCAACCUCGUACUUCAUUUCUUUGUGGUUUCCAUUCCCGUAAGCCUUCUUUUUAUCUUACAGUUAGCAAGCUCUACUUUGAUGUUAGGACGCAGGUGCCACUGUGGUCUAAACCACUGAGCCUCUUGGGUCGGCGGUUCAAAUCCUCGCAACGGAGUGAGCUCCUGUUGCUCUGUCCCAGCUCCUGCCAACCUAGCAGUUCGAAAGCACGCCAGCCCAAGUAGAUAAAUAGGUAUCACUGCAGCAGGAAGGUAAAUGGCAUUUCCGUGCGCUCUGGCUUCCGUCACGGACUUCUGUUGUGCCAGAAGCAGUUUAGUCCUACUGGCCACAUAACCCGGAAAGCUGUCUGUGGACAAACGCCAGCUCCCUCAGCCUGAAGUGAAAUGAGCUCCGCACCCCAUAGUCGCCUUUGACUGGACUUAACCAUUAUGGGGUCUUUUAUCUUACCUAUUACCUUACUUUGAUGCUGUUUCUCAUCCUUGGUAUGAACUUUGCUUCACACAUAGCUUAACCACAGCUUCUUCCACUGCCUUGUGGUUACGAGAGUUCUCGUUAUUGUCUGGAACAUUUUCUGUGGGCAUUUCGUGGUCAAAAAAGGAAACUAACCCAUGUUGCAACCAGCGGCGUUGGUUUGACUUUCCUCCUCUCCAACCACCACUGCACAUUCUUUUAAUAAGCAAGCAGUAAACUGAACUCUGCUUCAGUCCUGCUGACCACUUAUUUGAUGUUUCGCUGGUUACGUGUUCCUUCAGGUCCAAAUAACCCCUUUAAAGCCUUAAAACAGUCGGAGACCAGCCUGCCUAGGACCUUCGUUCCACCUAGGAGUUCAGGUCCACCACUGCCUGAGAUAAAGGAGAGGGCCUUAGCAGUUGUGGUACCCAGGAUCUCGAGAGAAGUACACCCGGCCCCUUUGCUUCCUGCUUUUAGGCAGAGAGUGAAAGUUUGGUUUAAGUGGCUUUUUUCAGAAUCUUGGUUUUAUUGCGUAUUCCGUUACUGGUUUUAAACAGAUGUUAGUUUUGCUAGCUUGCUUGUCUUUAGGCUGACUUUUGCUUCAUAUAAUCCUGGUUUUUAUGCAAAGCAGCUUUUAUUUUAUUUUGUCAUCCAUUUUCUGUACAGCCCUUCUGCCAAGGCAAUCGUAGUUGAAUAUACUAAAUAAAUAAAUGAACAUUAUGAAAGGCAAGUGGGACCUGCAACAAAGAGUAGCCAUGUAGAGUGUUCAAAGUCAGGGCGCUGGCCAACAAGCUUUGGCUGGCUGCUCCGUUCCAUUUCCCCACCCCAGUAUUCAGUUUGCAUUCUACAGGCCCUGAUCACUCAUUCCUCCCUCCUAAUGCUGCCUUCUUUUUUAAUAACUUUUUUUUUGUCCUCCUGCAAACCUUUUAAAAAAUAAUUUUAAAUAUUUUAUUAAGGUGAUUUCAGUUAAAAGAAAUAAAGUGAUACAGAAAACAAAGAAAAGUGAGAGGGAGAAAAACUACAACAAAGAUACAUAUAAAAAUGAAAAUAAACACACACAAAAAGCAAUAUACGAUAUUCCCAUACAUUCUUGUAUAAAUUGGCAUAGUGUCAUUGUCCUAGUGCUUAUGUAAAUGUUAACAGCCUACUACAUUUCGUAUAAAUUCAUUCCAAAUGUUAUCGUAUUUAUCCACACAGAGUUGCCCCAAACCUGCUGUCACCUGCUCUUGUACGGUGAUGGUGCCGUUUUGGCUAUGUAAGGGUCAAUGUUCAGAGAAUGGGUUUAGUGGUACCUCGGGUUAAGAACUUAAUUUGUUCCGGAGGGCCGUUCUUAACCUGAAACUGUUCUUAACCUGAGGUACCACUUUUGCUAAUGGGGUCUCCCGCUGCCGCCACAGCACCGGAGCACAAUUUCUGUUCUCAUCCUGAAGCAAAGUUCUUAACCCGAGGUACUAUUUCUGGGUUAGCGGAGUCUGUAACCUGAAGCCUCUGUAGUCUGAAGCGUCUCUAACCCGAGGUACCACUGUAGUAUGGAUCAGGAAUGAAGAAUCUCUGCCCUCCAUCAGCUACGGCCAAUGGCCAGCAAUAAUGCGAGAGUUGGCAUCCAGCAACAUCCACACGGUCAAAGGUUCUCUGUCCCUACUAUGUAGAUUAGGACUCUUCCAGAAACAUGGCGUUGGUUUCUUCUCCUUCCACAGGGCAAAUAGUUCUUGUAGUCCAAUGGAGAUGGAGGAGUACCUUUUCUAUUUUUUGUCUGAUGAGGUGAAAAUGAAUUAACAGUAAUAAUGCUCCCUGGACAUUUGAUCUUUCUCUGUUCAGAUUGCGUGUGUCUCUGCAGGAACUCCGCUCACCAAUAAGCACUACAUAGCUUCUCCGCGAGGAGAGAUGUAUGGCAUAAACCACAGUAUGGCUCGCUUCCAGCCGGACUUCAUGGCAACAGUACGACCUCAGACCCCUGUCCCAAACCUCUACCUUACAGGUAAAUGCUACCUCCUCACUUUUUCCAGUGUACCGCAACUGUUGGCCGUUAUAAGGACUCUUUCAACUACUUUCAACUACUGCAAUGCGCUCCAUGUGGGGCUACAACUAAUCCAGAAUGCGGCAGCUAGACUGGUGACUGGGAGUGGCCGCCAAGACCACACAACACCAGUCGUGAAAGACCUACAUUGGCUCCCAGUACGUUUUCGAGCACAAUUCAAAGUGUUGGUGCUGACCUUUAAAGCCCUAAAUGGCUUCGGUCCAGUAUACCUGAAGGAGCGUCUCCACCUCCAUCGUUCUGCCCGGACACUGAGGUCCAGUGCCGAGGGCCUUCUGGCGGUUCCCUUGCUGCGAGAAGCCAAGUUACAGGGAACCAGGCAGAGGGCCUUCUCGGUAGUGGCACCCACCCUUUGGAAUGCCCUCCCACCAGAUGUCAAAGAGAAAAACAACUACCAAACUUUUAGAAGACAUCUGAAGGCAGCCCUGUUUAGGGAAGCUUUUAAUGUUUAAUAGGUAAUUGUAUUUUAGUGUUUUGUUGGAAGCUGCCCAGAGUGGCUGGGGAAACCCAGCCAGAUGGGCGGGGUACAAAUAAUAAAUUAUUAUUAUUAUUAUCAACCUGCCUCAUCUCAAGGGCAUAGAAUAGAUAACUUUUCCGCACUAGGCCUGUGUUGAAGAUUUGGGGAUCUUGUUGCUGAUUAGUGAGGAAAAUAAGGCAGCAAAAGUGAAAUUCUAAAACAAGAGCAGAGUUGGGUGUUGCUGGUUUUUUCAGUGGCGUGAACACGACACAGGAGCACAAAAACUACAUUAGUGGGGCAGGCAUUAGGGAGGGAGUGGGCCAGCAGAGGAGGAAUAGUUUCCUGAGUGGGUCUUGGCAUUUGAACAUUCUCUUUCCAGUUCCUUACAUUUGCCCCAAUUCCUGAGGCCUUUGGGGUUUGGUUGGACAAGUGGACACAGAUAACUUUAUUAUUAUUUCUUAUCAUUUUCAAUUUUACAAUAUCUGCACAAAUCAAGAAAACAAAUGAUACAUUGCACAGCGACUUCCCUCCCUGCCCCUUUCCCUGGUUCAUUUCAGUUUUCCUUUACUGCUGCAUAUUCUAAUUGUUCCUUAUUCUUUCUCCUCCAGUUUUUCCUCCGUUAUAUAAUUUUAUUGGGCCUACCCAAUAUUUUAUUCAAGUGGGCACCCCUGCCCUCCACUAGUUUAUGUACCUUCCCCCAGUGGGUUGUGGGCACACAGCCAGAGACUGCAUUUGUGUGGAAACUUCCUUGGCUGCUUCCUUUUCAAUAGGGGACAGUCAUUCAGGAGAGCAUUCUGGGGGCCAGUCUAGGGCAGGGGUUUUCAGCAGGGGGCCGGUCCACUGUCCCUCAGACAUUUUGGGGGGCCUGACUAUACUGGGGGGGACGAAUUCCUAUGCCCCACAAAUAACCCAGAGAUGCAUUUUAAAUAAAAGCACACAUUCUACUCAUGUAAAAACACACUGAUCCCCAGACCGCCCGUGGGCCAGAUUUGGAAGGUGGUUGGGCUGGAUCUGGCCUUAGUUUGCCUACCCAUAGGGGACAGUCAUUCAGGAGAGGCUGGGGAAGCCCUUGGCCCUUCACUUGCCUGAUCCCUCUUCUUCUGACCCAUCCUGGGCUCCACCCUCCAGCUCUGAAUCUUCCUCUGCCUCUGAUUCUUGCCAGCUGGCUGGUACAGGUCCCUGCAAACCACUGCCCAACCCUCUCCUGAGUCAGCGUCUAGCCAGUCCCUGACAUCUGGCUACACAAGCGCCUUUUUUUAGCCCCGUGAUGCUCUCCCAAGCGGAAAGUAUGUACAUUCCAGGCUGUUGACAAGGGGAUGUGAUGAACAAGAGGACAGACCGAGCAGAGACUGACAAGUGGCAGUGAUGUCUUUGUUUUCUCCUAGGCCAGGAUGUGCUUUUAGCUGGUUUCGCAGGAGCCCUUCACGGAGCCAUUCUCUGCGCUUCUGCUGUCCUGGGACGUAAUCUCUACAUCGACUUGAUAUUCCUAGGCAAGAAAAUCAAAGCCAGCGAUGCCGAAAAGAAAAACUAAGCCUUCGGUCUCUACCACACAAAUGAGAGUUGCUCCUGCCUCCUGCCUUAUUGGUGAUCUGAAAGCUGCCUUCUUUUCUGGGUUCUUCAUGUCUCCAGCAGGGGAUGCUAACUGGUGCCAAAACUAUAUGCUUUGGUGCUUUUGCGUGUCAAGGUCCCAAGCCACCCUUAAAUAAUUUCACACAGGAAUUUUGUUUAACGUUUUUGGCAUAAUUUUGGCCACAACUUUAUU